This 377-nucleotide ribosomal RNA is filed under the name uncultured delta proteobacterium. Its description in RNAcentral is "bacterial SSU rRNA". It matches the Rfam family "Bacterial small subunit ribosomal RNA", at positions 521 to 896 of the family's 1533-position model. The record is from RNAcentral. Lineage: Bacteria; Deltaproteobacteria.
UAAUACGGAGGGUGCAAGUGUUGUUCGGAAUUACUGGGCGUAAAGGGCGUGUAGGCGGUUAGGCAAGUCAGAUGUGAAAGCCCUUGGCUUAACCAAGGAAGUGCAUUUGAAACUGCUUGACUAGAGUACAGGAUGGGAAAGUGGAAUUCCCAGUGUAGAGGUGAAAUUCAUAGAUAUUGGGAGGAACACCGGUGGCGAAGGCGGCUUUCUGGCCUGAUACUGACGCUGAGACGCGAAAGCGUGGGGAGCAAACAGGAUUAGAUACCCUGGUAGUCCACGCCGUAAACGAUGGGCACUAGGUGUAGGAAGUGUUGACCCUUUCUGUGCCGAAGCUAACGCAUUAAGUGCCCCGCCUGGGGAGUACGGUCGCAAGGCUA